GACAGCAGUCGCCGCGGUAAUACAGAGGGUGCGAGCGUUAAUCGGAUUUACUGGGCGUAAAGCGUGCGUAGGCGGCUUCUUAAGUCGGAUGUGAAAUCCCUGAGCUUAACUUAGGAAUUGCAUUCGAUACUGGGAAGCUAGAGUAUGGGAGAGGAUGGUAGAAUUCCAGGUGUAGCGGUGAAAUGCGUAGAGAUCUGGAGGAAUACCGAUGGCGAAGGCAGCCAUCUGGCCUAAUACUGACGCUGAGGUACGAAAGCAUGGGGAGCAAACAGGAUUAGAUACCCGAGUAGUCCCUGUCUCUUAUAC
This 306-nucleotide ribosomal RNA is filed under the name uncultured bacterium. RNAcentral's name for it is "partial 16S ribosomal RNA". It matches the Rfam family "Bacterial small subunit ribosomal RNA", at positions 507 to 807 of the family's 1533-position model. The record is from RNAcentral.